Molecule: ribosomal RNA, 428 nt
Filed under: uncultured prokaryote
Description: bacterial SSU rRNA
Rfam family: Bacterial small subunit ribosomal RNA
Source: RNAcentral
UGGGGAAUAUUGGGCAAUGGGCGCAAGCCUGACCCAGCGACGCCGCGUGGGUGAUGAAGGCCUUCGGGUUGUAAAGCCCUGUCAUGUGGAAAGAACAGUCCCGUGGUGAAUAUCCACGGGAUUUGACGGUACCACAGGAGGAAGCACCGGCUAACUCCGUGCCAGCAGCCGCGGUAAUACGGAGGGUGCAAGCGUUGUUCGGAAUUAUUGGGCGUAAAGGGCAUCUAGGCGGGAUGUUAAGUCAGGUGUGAAAGCCAAGGGCUCAACCCUUGAACUGCAUUUGAUACUGACAUUCUUGAGUUCGGAAGAGGAAGGCGGAAUUCCCGGUGUAGCGGUGAAAUGCGUAGAUAUCGGGAAGAACACCGGUGGCGAAGGCGGCCUUCUGGUCUAGAACUGACGCUGACAUGCGAAAGUGUGGGGAUCAAACG